Chelonia mydas (Green sea turtle) is the source of this 2662-nucleotide long non-coding RNA. RefSeq lists it as uncharacterized. The transcript has 4 exons. The record is from RefSeq and is a predicted model, not a curated record. NCBI's taxonomy places the organism in Eukaryota, Metazoa, Chordata, Testudines, Cheloniidae.
UAAUACUGACAUGAAAUAGGAAAUACUACAAAGUAAGUUACUGAGUUCAGUGGGCAGGUAUAUCAUUAAUAAACUUGAAGGGGAAAAUGAACAAUAAGUUACACUGAGUUCAUCUGACAGAUAAACCAUUCAUAAAACUGAAAUGGAAAAUGGAACUGUGCUCUGAUAUCUAAGGAAAAUCAUAGUGCUUCUGAAAAGAAAAUAGAUAAUUCAAGAAGACUACAAUAAAACAGAACAAAGGCAAAAGAAGCAAUAUUAUGAUCAAGAAAAAUGGAAAAAAUGUUAAGACAAAUGCAAGGUUUUAUACGUGGCAAAAGGGAGGGGGAAAUCUGGAAGUAGAGCUGGGUGAAUUUUUUUUUUUUGCUUCAGCCAGGACAUCGAAAAUUCCAAAAGAAUAUUCGGUUCAAUUCCAAAAAUGUUUGGAAGCUGUAGAACACUUGGCCCAGAGGCUGGUUCCUUGGAGUACUGUUCUCAACCCCUUUCUGGGCUCUGUUCCUUGGGUUCUUCCCUGCUCCAGUGCCGAGCCAAGGGUUUGGAGAAAUUCCUGAUACUAACCUCCAGUAACUGUCCAGUUCAGAGUGAAAUACAAAAUCAGAGUCUGGAAACAUGAGCCAUUGCGUAUACAAUUCAGUUCAUUCAGCACUAACAUGUGGCAGAGGAAAAUUAACUUCCCUCAGUCCACUCUAUGCCUGUUCCUUGCAAGACUUUGAAGAAGCCAUUGUCCCAAAUAGAGAGGAGGGGAGGAGAGAGCUAGAUUUGUCCCACCUAUGGAUAGAGGUGCAGCGCCCAGUCUCCAAACCUGCUUGAUACCUAGAGAGUCUCUCUGGCCUUUGCCAUGGCAACCAACACUUCAGAGGCAGUAAGUGGAAAAAGCAAUACAGGCUGUGGAGAGUCCCCUACUCUGCCUACUCCUUUUCCUGGCCUGCCCAGUCUCUGACCACUGCUGUAGCAAUGACCCUGGACGUCACAAAGAGUGGUCCACUGUGUCUGAGCUGGGAGACUGCUAUGGAGACAGCUGAUCCACCCUUCCAUGUACAAGCUGAAGGAUUUGCAUGUGUAGAGCCUCUCGGUGUGUGGACUUAAGGGGAAAAUAAUCUGGUCUAAUCUAUUUGCUUGCACUUAAUUCAUCUAAAUGGGUCCGGAGGAGGAAUUUAAAGAAGUAGUAGUAACUUUCUGGAUACAUUCAGGAAAAGUAUUCCAUGCAUAGUGGAAGGCGCAAAUGUGUUCAGGGCUCUGAAAUAGCAUGCACAUGCCUAUAAGCCAGGCCAAUAGGCUUAUAAGCCUUCCAUCUUACCCUGCCCCAAUUUUCUCCUGUCAGCACCAAUGUCCAAACAGAGAUAGUGGCAUGAAAAUUCAAAACUUCAGCCACAUGAGACUGAGUAUAAGAGCCUCAGGACUGGCUAGCUGCUUUGUUGCACUUUGGUAGGAGGUGCCACCUACAGAGGGAGCCUUGUGACAGUAGCUAUAGCAGAAGCUGAGGGCAUAGCCGGAGUCCAUCCCUUCCUCAGUGGAACGGCGGCAGCAGCAGUCAGAAGGGUAGGAACUGGAGAAGGAUGUUCUGGAGAAAGAGGUCCAAAGAAAUGAGUCUGUAGCAGUAGAGGACUGUCUGAUAUCUGCAUGUAGCAACUCAGGAACAUUUCCUGGAGACUGCAAGAAUAGUAGCAGCUAUCCAGGGGGAGAAGUAGCCAGGAAGAAGAGAGUGCACCCAUAUGAGGGAUGUGAGUCACCAGGGCAUCAAACUGAGGAGUCUGAGGGAUGAUAUUACAAAGGUCUAAAUGAAAUACUAUGAGUGAUGUACGUUUGCCACAUUUGGCAUCAUUCUUUAAAAUUCUGUCUUGGUGCUACCUGGUGUGAAAAGAUGAUGAAUGGGCAGAAAAGGCUGGCAUCAUAUUGACAAAUUCAGACUGGAAAUAAAGCAUAUAUUGUCAACAGUGAGGGCAAUUAACCAUUGGAACCAUUUAUCAAAGGUCAUGGUGGAUUCUCCAUCACCAGCAAUGUUUCAAUCAAGAUGGGAUAUUUUUCUAAACUCUACUCUAGGAAUUAUUUUGAGGAAGUUCUCUGGCCUGUGUUUGUACUCGAGGUUAGACUAGAUGAUCACAGUAGUCUCUUCUGGCCUUGGAAUCUAUGAAUCAUUGACAGAGGAUGCAAAAGGGUUGAAUUACCUACAGAUGUAAUUACACUUCAGUUAAGUAUUUAAAACAGGGCAGUAUUUUGUGGAUGACUAGCAGUGGUGGUAGAAAACCAUUUUUUUUUGUCAAGACCUUUUCUUUCAGAGUUAAAAAAACAAACUGGACAUUUAAUCUUAAAGUAAUCUCAUGCUCCUGGGCAACUUUAGAAUUUUCUUUUGAAUCCAAAAUGUCAAAUCUGAAAUGGUAAAGUCAUUUCUGGGGGAAAAAUCCAAGCUUCCGAUAGGAAUCUAUGGAAAAUCAUUCUGUGUUUCUAUUUCUGUUCAAUUUUACUAAUGUAAAUGUAUGGCUUUUUUAUACUAUAUCAUAAAGACUAAUUACAUUAGCAAAUUCAUUUAUGGGCCAGAUUUUAACAUCAGUCUUUUUCACAGAACUCCCAUUGAUGUAAAUGGUUUGCUGAAAAAUGAUUGUAAGAGAAAUAAGUUCAUGCUAUAGGUAUGAUACCAGUAUAAUACAAAAUAAAUCAAAUAGCUGUG